AGCAGUCGCCGCGGGAAUACGGAGGGUGCAAGCGUUAAUCGGAAUUACUGGGCGUAAAGCGCACGCAGGCGGUCUGACAAGUCAGAUGUGAAAUCCCCGGGCUUAACCUGGGAACUGCAUUUGAAACUGUCAGGCUGGAGUCUUGUAGAGGGGGGUAGAAUUCCAGGUGUAGCGGUGAAAUGCGUAGAGAUCUGGAGGAAUACCGGUGGCGAAGGCGGCCCCCUGGACAAAGACUGACGCUCAGGUGCGAAAGCGUGGGGAGCAAACAGGAUUAGAUACCCCUGUAGUCCCUGUCUCUUAUAC
Molecule: ribosomal RNA, 303 nt
Filed under: uncultured bacterium
Lineage: Bacteria
Description: partial 16S ribosomal RNA
Rfam family: Bacterial small subunit ribosomal RNA
Source: RNAcentral